GUUGGAUUAGCUAGUUGGUGAGGUAACGGCUCACCAAGGCGAUGAUCCAUAGCUGGUCUGAGAGGACGAUCAGCCACACUGGGACUGAGACACGGCCCAGACUCCUACGGGAGGCAGCAGUGGGGAAUAUUGGACAAUGGGCGCAAGCCUGAUCCAGCCAUGCCGCGUGAGUGAUGAAGGCCUUAGGGUUGUAAAGCUCUUUUACCAGGGAAGAUAAUGACGGUACCUGGAGAAUAAGCCCCGGCUAACUUCGUGCCAGCAGCCGCGGUAAUACGAAGGGGGCUAGCGUUGCUCGGAAUCACUGGGCGUAAAGCGCACGUAGGUGGAUUUCUAAGUCAGGGGUGAAAUCCUGGAGCUCAACUCCGGAACUGCCUUUGAUACUGGAAAUCUUGAGUCCGGGAGAGGUGGGUGGAACUGCGAGUGUAGAGGUGAAAUUCGUAGAUAUUCGCAAGAACACCAGUGGCGAAGGCGGCUCACUGG
RNAcentral lists this ribosomal RNA (480 nucleotides) under uncultured Alphaproteobacteria bacterium. RNAcentral describes it as "bacterial SSU rRNA". It matches the Rfam family "Bacterial small subunit ribosomal RNA", at positions 235 to 732 of the family's 1533-position model. The record is from RNAcentral. Lineage: Bacteria; Pseudomonadati; Pseudomonadota; Alphaproteobacteria.